Spodoptera frugiperda (fall armyworm) is the source of this 2328-nucleotide long non-coding RNA. RefSeq lists it as uncharacterized. The transcript has 2 exons. Lineage: Eukaryota; Metazoa; Arthropoda; Insecta; Lepidoptera; Noctuidae. The record is from RefSeq and is a predicted model, not a curated record.
CCCCGCACGCAACAUUCCGACUAAAAAAACCAUUAAAAUAGCCAAACCACCUCAAAGAAUAAAAAAGUUCCUUUUAGAAACUAACUCAAAGAGAGUUUUUCCGUACGUGUGAUCAUCAAAAACGUUCCGAUGGAAAUUCUUGAAUGAGAAAUCGAGGGCAAUAAAUAUUACCUCAUAAAACAGUAAUGUAUUCAAUAGAAGCAGAUGUUAUUUUGCAGAAAUUAUAUAUAGGACAUAGGACGAUUAAAUAGCCAAUCUGCCUUGAGCAAUUUUUAUCAAGAGUUUUGCUGUGAUACUGAUCAUCAAAAACGUUCCAAUGGAAAUUACUGAAUGAGAAAUAAAUAUCAUCUCAAAAACAGUAAUGUAUUGAAUAGAAGUACAUGUUAUUUAUUUUACGGAAAUCAUAUACUACACGAAUACUAUGGGAAGAAAGAACAUACCGACGUUUGAUCCUGAAUAAAAUACUUUUGAGAUACUAAUAACCAAAAUCGUAUAUUCCACUUCAAUUCCAAAAACAUUCUGAAAUCCUUUUAUCAUAGAUUUCUAAGUACAUAUUACUGUAUACAAGUAUACUAUACAAUUAUGUUUCGUUUUGAUAUCUGCGGUGCAACCAUCCGAAAAUGGCAUCGCUACAUACUAAAUUCAAUAAACUAUAUACAUAUAUUUACAAACUUAUAAUAAAUUAAAUUAAUUGAAAGUUUCGUUUUGAUGUCUACGGUACACCCAUCAGAAAAUGAUUAGGUCAUAUGCGAAGACACCAAGAUUAUUGAAAAAAAAAUACGUUUUUAGCGACAACAACUAACUACCUUCGUAGUUGUAUGAUAUUCCAGCAUGGAGUCACUAAGCGAAAUCUUGCUAAAGCUAUUGAUUACUUAAUCGUACAAUUCCUUCUGGAGACCUAUAGAUCCUGCCAGGCAUACAAAAAAGAGCGCUUUAUACUACAGAUGAUGCAGAAGUACUUUAUCGACACAGAAUCUUAGUGAAAUUGUAGUAAUCCUGCAAUACUCCAGCAUCGAAAGUAAUCUCGGCUAGCGAGAGCAUUGGAGCUCUCUCCUUCUGAGCUAAGUAAAAGCGAUAUUACCUUCGUUUUGUACCUUACUUUUGAAUAAAUAAAACAAAAUGACCAGUAUUAUUGUCAAUACUUGGCAAUUUGGUGGUAGUUAAAUACCAAAGCGUACAAGGAACAAUGUUUGCAUCAUUUGAACGAACGGAACUUAUCCCAAAAAAAACGUUCCGAAGAAGCUGAAGUAGACAUGAAACCAGGGCCGUACCGGCUUGAGCGCGGCCACUAACUGCACGGAAUACCAGAUAAGACACCACUCCAGACCCCAUGAGAAGCCCGACUACUCCAACCUUUCAACCUCUCGCCAGUGGCAGGCAGCGAAAUGAAACCGCCAAAACCGACAUCGACUAGGAUCUUGCGACCUCGCGCCCCCAGUCGGGGACUCAGAGAUGACAUCGAACCAUAAAUAUGUGGGCUCGAAUAAUUGACCAGCAGCUUUUACACCAAAUAUCAUGACGACAAGCAACUCUCAGUUAAAAGAAAUAAUAGCAUAAUUAUCGUACAUUAAUCUUUUGAAACAUGGCACUAAUACAAAGAAAAUUUAUAAAAUUUAUAAUUUCUUUGUUGUUUUUCACACUUUGUAGAAAACUACUGCUAUGUACAUUUGAAAUCUACGUUCCCAAAAAUCCACUCCGGUAGUAUUCGUGGACGAGGGUUUUACUAACACCUUACGGUUUUCCAUCCCUAAAACUCGUUUUGACAGAAAUAUUUCCUUCAAAAUAUCACAGGUUUCGUCAAUUUUUAACCUAAAGCGACUAAAUUUCAGUGACCUUUAGAGUCCGAUUUGUGUACAUAUUUGCCUUAAACGUCGCGACGUUUCCUUUAGACGUACUAACAUUUUGUCUUUUGGUGAAAACUUAAAAACUGUACAGAAAAGAACCGGGAUUUUUAAGCGAUUCGAUGGGACGCGCCGAGUUAUUUUUGAUAUAUCGCACACCCCGAUUGGAUUUUCAUGAUUUGAAAUUAUCUUCGGAUGAGUGUACCGCAGACACCAAAGCGAAACAGAAGGCAAUAUCUUCUGGUGGUUGUAAUGCAAAAACCAAAGUAGAACAGAAGAAUUUAUCUUCGGAUGAGUGUACCGCAGACAUCAAAACGCAACAGAAGAAAUCAUCUUCUGGUGUGUGCAAUGCAGAAACUAAAGUAGAACAAGAAUGUAUCUUCGGAUGGGUAUACCGCAGACAUCAAGACGAAACAGAAGAAAUCAUCUUCUGGUGGGUGCAACGCAGAACAGAAGAAUUUAUCUUCUGGUGCGUGCAACGCAGAAA